CACUCCUACGGGAGGCAGCAGUGGGGAAUUUUGGACAAUGGGCGAAAGCCUGAUCCAGCCAUGCCGCGUGCAGGAUGAAGGCCUUCGGGUUGUAAACUGCUUUUGUACGGAACGAAACGGCCUUUUCUAAUAAAGAGGGCUAAUGACGGUACCGUAAGAAUAAGCACCGGCUAACUACGUGCCAGCAGCCGCGGUAAUACGUAGGGUGCAAGCGUUAAUCGGAAUUACUGGGCGUAAAGCGUGCGCAGGCGGUUAUGUAAGACAGUUGUGAAAUCCCCGGGCUCAACCUGGGAACUGCAUCUGUGACUGCAUAGCUAGAGUACGGUAGAGGGGGAUGGAAUUCCGCGUGUAGCAGUGAAAUGCGUAGAUAUGCGGAGGAACACCGAUGGCGAAGGCAAUCCCCUGGACCUGUACUGACGCUCAUGCACGAAAGCGUGGGGAGCAAACAGGAUUAGAAACCCUAGUAGUCCC
This 471-nucleotide ribosomal RNA is filed under the name uncultured organism. RNAcentral describes it as "partial 16S ribosomal RNA". It matches the Rfam family "Bacterial small subunit ribosomal RNA", at positions 334 to 797 of the family's 1533-position model. The record is from RNAcentral.